Molecule: ribosomal RNA, 89 nt
Filed under: Astragalus hemiphaca
Lineage: Eukaryota; Viridiplantae; Streptophyta; Magnoliopsida; Fabales; Fabaceae
Description: partial 26S ribosomal RNA
Rfam family: Eukaryotic large subunit ribosomal RNA
Source: RNAcentral
GAGACCUCAGGUCAGGCGGGGCUACCCGCUGAAUUUAAGCAUAUCAAUAAGCGGAGGAAAAGAAACUAACAAGGAUUCCCUUAGUAACG